GAAGUUCUUUUGCAGGAACCUGUAAAGGUUAUUGAUAACGAAGCGCUUGAAACGGUUUCGUCCGGUUCCCAUCUUUAGAAUAGUCCUACCAAACACAAAGGUUGUUCCAUUUGUGAAAGCCGAAUCCAGCACCAUAUUGGAGUAUGCACCUGUAAACACCGACAUGAUCCAGUUUGUCUACGAGGAAGCGCUCUUCAGGAAGGACGAAUGUCACUGGAAGAAUCCUCACGGUGACAAACACCGUAACUUCACGGAUGGAGCCCGUAUGCCGGACAUAGUGGCGCACAAUUGGUGGAAUGCCAUUCAUUAAGUCAGUGCAAAAGAUGCAUAUCCCAGGUCGUGUGUUCAGGCUUGUAUGGGGAUUUCUUCUAGCCUAGCAUCUAUGUUACAUUUGAAGUUAUUUUCGUACGGUUUUUCCGGCAAUCAGCUGUGGUUACUGAGUAUCAGUUGAGUUCAACAUCACAAGGAGGAGUAACACAAAAUAAUACUACCUCUGUCCAUGAGAGGAUGUCGCAAGUUUGUCUAAAUUGAGAUGUAUCUAUACACUCUUUAGUGUAUAGAUACAUCCGAAUUUAGACAAAUCCCUGACACUAUUUUAUGGAUGGAGGGAGUGUAACAUUUCACAGUGCAGUUCAAGUUCGUUCUGAACUGUCUAGCUACAUUCCUGAUUUACCAUCUAUUUCAGCUAGGGUUGGUAUAACAGGGGAAUAGAACACCGGGUUCCCAUGAAAAAACAUAAUUUUACCUUAAAUAUACUGCUUUCAUUUUUCA
Long non-coding RNA from Lolium perenne, 771 nucleotides. RefSeq lists it as uncharacterized. The record is from RefSeq and is a predicted model, not a curated record. NCBI's taxonomy places the organism in Eukaryota, Viridiplantae, Streptophyta, Magnoliopsida, Poales, Poaceae.